UACGGGGGGGGCAAGCGUUGUUCGGAAUUACUGGGCGUAAAGGGUUCGUAGGUGGCCAACUAAGUCAGACGUGAAAUCCCUCAGCUCAACUGGGGAACUGCGUCUGAUACUGGUUGGCUUGAGUGCAGGAGAGGAACGCGGAAUUCCAGGUGUAGCGGUGAAAUGCGUAGAUAUCUGGAGGAACACCGGUGGCGAAGGCGGCGUUCUGGACUGCAACUGACACUGAGGAACGAAAGCCAGAGGAGCAAACGGG
This 253-nucleotide ribosomal RNA is filed under the name uncultured bacterium. RNAcentral describes it as "partial 16S ribosomal RNA". It matches the Rfam family "Bacterial small subunit ribosomal RNA", at positions 524 to 776 of the family's 1533-position model. The record is from RNAcentral.